AUUGAACGCUGGCGGCAUGCCUUACACAUGCAAGUCGAACGGUAACGGGCCUUCGGUUGCCGACGAGUGGCGAACGGGGGAGUAAUACAUCGGAACGUGCCCGAUCGUGGGGGGUAACGAGGCGAAAGCUUUGCUAAUACCGCAUACGAUCUACGGAUGAAAGCCGGGGACCGCAAGGCCUUGCGCGGGCGGAGCGGUCGAUGGCAGAUUAGGUAGUUGGUGGGUUAAAAGCUUACCAAGCCGACGAUCUGUAGCUGGUCUGAGAGGAUGAUCAGCCACACUGGGACUGAGACACGGCCCAGACUCCUACGGGAGGCAGCAGUGGGGAAUUUUGGACAAUGGGCGCAAGCCUGAUCCAGCCAUGCCGCGUGCAGGAUGAAGGCCUUCGGGUUGUAAACUGCUUUUGUACGGAAAGAAAAGCCUUCUUUUAAUACAGGAGGGUCAUGACGGUACCGUAAGAAUAAGCACCGGCUAACUACGUG
This 482-nucleotide ribosomal RNA is filed under the name uncultured bacterium. RNAcentral describes it as "partial 16S ribosomal RNA". It matches the Rfam family "Bacterial small subunit ribosomal RNA", at positions 30 to 507 of the family's 1533-position model. The record is from RNAcentral.